This 540-nucleotide ribosomal RNA is filed under the name uncultured bacterium. RNAcentral's name for it is "bacterial SSU rRNA". It matches the Rfam family "Bacterial small subunit ribosomal RNA", at positions 912 to 1452 of the family's 1533-position model. The record is from RNAcentral.
GACGGGGGCCCGCACAAGCGGAGGAACAUGUGGUUUAAUUCGAUGAUACGCGAGGAACCUUACCCGGGCUUGAAUUGCUGGUGACGGUUGGUGGAGACAUCUUCCUUCNUUCGGGACGCCAGUGAAGGUGCUGCAUGGUUGUCGUCAGCUCGUGCCGUAAGGUGUCGGCUCAAGUGCCAUAACGAGCGCAACCCUUGCCGUUAGUUGCCAUCAGGUAGUGCUGGGCACUCUAUCGGGACUGCCAUCGUAAGAUGUGAGGAAGGUGGGGAUGACGUCAAAUCAGCACGGCCCUUAUGUCCGGGGCUACACACGUGUUACAAUGGGGGGUACAGAGGGAAGCCACCUGGCGACAGGGCGCGGAUCCCGAAAUCCCUUCUCAGUUCGGAUCGGAGUCUGGAACCCGACUCCGUGAAGCUGGAUUCGCUAGUAAUCGCGCAUCAGCCAUGGCGCGGUGAAUACGUUCCCGGGCCUUGUACACACCGCCCGUCAAGCCAUGAAAGCCGGGGGCUCUUGAAGUCCGUGGGAGCGAGGAUCGGCCUA